RNAcentral lists this ribosomal RNA (460 nucleotides) under uncultured bacterium. Its description in RNAcentral is "partial 16S ribosomal RNA". It matches the Rfam family "Bacterial small subunit ribosomal RNA", at positions 338 to 795 of the family's 1533-position model. The record is from RNAcentral.
CCUACGGGCGGCAGCAGUGAGGAAUAUUGCGCAAUGGGCGCAAGCCUGAACCAGCCAAGUCGCGUGAGGGAUGACGGUCCUAGGGAUUGUAAACCUCUUUUGUCGGGGAGCAAGGCCCGCCACGUGUGGCGGGGAGGAGAGUACCCGAAGAAAAAGCAUCGGCUAACUCCGUGCAGGCAGCCGCGGUAGUACGGAGGAUGCGAGCGUUAUCCGGAGUUAUUGGGUUUAAAGGAUGCGUAGGCGGAAGGUUAAGUCAGCGGUAAAAUGUCGGGGCUAAACACCGGACUGCCGUUGAAACUGGUCUGCUUGAGUGAGAGAGAAGUAUGUGGAAUGCGUGGUGUAGCGGUGAAAUGCAUAGAGAUCACGCAGAACUCCGAUUGCGAAGGCAGCAUACCGGCGCUCAACUGACGCUGAGGCACGAAAGCGUGGGGAUCGAACAGGAUUAGAUACCCGAGUAGUC